UUGUUAUUGUUGUUGUUAUUGUUGUUGUUAUUGUUAUUGAUGUUGUUGUUGUUGUUACUAUUUUUGUUGCUGUUGUUGUUAAAGAUGUUAUUUUUGUUUUUUUGUUGUUGGUGGUGUUGGUGUUGGUGUUGGUGUAGUUGUUAUUAUUGUUGUUGUUGUUAUUGUUUUUUUGUUGUUAUUGAAGUUGUUGUUGUUGUUGUUGAUGCUUUUGUUGUUGUUCUUUUUGUUGUUGUUGUUGUUGUUG
Molecule: long non-coding RNA, 244 nt
Filed under: Lathyrus oleraceus (garden pea)
Lineage: Eukaryota; Viridiplantae; Streptophyta; Magnoliopsida; Fabales; Fabaceae
Description: Pisum sativum (pea) long non-coding RNA (PSAT_LNC007277)
Source: RNAcentral